GGAGUGUGGCUCAGUGGUAGAGCACGUGCUUAGCAUAUAUGAGGCCCUGAGUUCAAUCCCCAGUACCA
RNAcentral lists this transfer RNA (68 nucleotides) under Marmota monax (woodchuck). Its description in RNAcentral is "tRNA.Ala". It matches the Rfam family "tRNA", at positions 5 to 66 of the family's 71-position model. From Rfam's summary of the family: Transfer RNA (tRNA) molecules are approximately 80 nucleotides in length. Their secondary structure includes four short double-helical elements and three loops (D, anti-codon, and T loops). Lineage: Eukaryota; Metazoa; Chordata; Mammalia; Rodentia; Sciuridae. The record is from RNAcentral.